AAUGAACGCUGGCGGCAGGCCUAACACAUGCAAGUCGAACGGAUCCUUCGGGAUUAGUGGCGGACGGGUGAGUAACGCGUGGGAACAUACCCUUUGGUACGGAAUAGCCUCGGGAAACUGGGAGUAAUACCGUAUGUGCUCUUCGGAGGAAAGAUUUAUCGCCAAAGGAUUGGCCCGCGUUGGAUUAGGUAGUUGGUGGGGUAAUGGCCUACCAAGCCGACGAUCCAUAGCUGGUUUGAGAGGAUGAUCAGCCACACUGGGACUGAGACACGGCCCAGACUCCUACGGGAGGCAGCAGUGGGGAAUCUUAGACAAUGGGGGAAACCCUGAUCUAGCCAUGCCGCGUGAUCGAUGAAGGCCUUAGGGUUGUAAAGAUCUUUCAGUGGGGAAGAUAAUGACGGUACCCACAGAAGAAGCCCCCGGCUAACUCCGUGCCAGCAGCCGCGGU
This 448-nucleotide ribosomal RNA is filed under the name uncultured bacterium. Its description in RNAcentral is "bacterial SSU rRNA". It matches the Rfam family "Bacterial small subunit ribosomal RNA", at positions 29 to 521 of the family's 1533-position model. The record is from RNAcentral.